AGUAGAGUAGCUCAGGGGAAAGAGCAUGAACUUGGGAGUCAGAGGUCAUGGGUUCUAGUCCCCUCUCUGCCG
This 72-nucleotide transfer RNA is filed under the name Ornithorhynchus anatinus (platypus). It matches the Rfam family "tRNA". From Rfam's summary of the family: Transfer RNA (tRNA) molecules are approximately 80 nucleotides in length. Their secondary structure includes four short double-helical elements and three loops (D, anti-codon, and T loops). Lineage: Eukaryota; Metazoa; Chordata; Mammalia; Monotremata; Ornithorhynchidae. The record is from Rfam by way of RNAcentral.